This 483-nucleotide ribosomal RNA is filed under the name uncultured bacterium. RNAcentral describes it as "partial 16S ribosomal RNA". It matches the Rfam family "Bacterial small subunit ribosomal RNA", at positions 29 to 506 of the family's 1533-position model. The record is from RNAcentral.
AUUGAACGCUGGCGGCAGGCCUAACACAUGCAAGUCGAGCGGAUGAAGGGAGCUUGCUCCUGGAUUCAGCGGCGGACGGGUGAGUAAUGCCUAGGAAUCUGCCUGGUAGUGGGGGAUAACGUCCGGAAACGGGCGCUAAUACCGCAUACGUCCUGAGGGAGAAAGUGGGGGAUCUUCGGACCUCACGCUAUCAGAUGAGCCUAGGUCGGAUUAGCUAGUUGGUGGGGUAAAGGCCUACCAAGGCGACGAUCCGUAACUGGUCUGAGAGGAUGAUCAGUCAAACUGGAACUGAGAAAGGGUCCAGACUCCCAGGGGAGGCAGGAGGGGGGAAUAUGGGAAAAGGGGCGAAAGCCUGAUCCAGCCAGGCCGGGGGGGGGAAGAAGGGCUGCGGUUUGUAAAGCCCUUUAAGGUGGGAGGAAGGGCAGUAAGUUAAAACCUUGCUGUUUGGACGUUACCAACAAAAUAAGCACCGGCUAACUUCGG